GACGAACGCUGGCGGCGUGCUUAACACAUGCAAGUCGAACGGAAAGGCCCUGCUUUUGUGGGGUGCUCGAGUGGCGAACGGGUGAGUAACACGUGAGUAACCUGCCCUUGACUUUGGGAUAACUUCAGGAAACUGGGGCUAAUACCGGAUAGGAGCUCCUGCUGCAUGGUGGGGGUUGGAAAGUUUCGGCGGUUGGGGAUGGACUGGCGGGUUAUGGGCUUGUGGGGGGGGUAGUGGCUUACCAAGGGUUUGACGGGUAGCCGGCCUGAGAGGGUGACCGGCCACAUUGGGACUGCGAUACGGACCAGACUCCUACGGGAGGCAGCAGUGGGGAAUAUUGCACAAUGGGCGGAAGCCUGAUGCAGCAACGCCGCGUGCGGGAUGACGGCCUUCGGGUUGUAAACCGCUUUCGCCUGUGACGAAGCGUGAGUGACGGUAAUGGGUAAAGAAGCACCGGCUAACUACGUG
This 468-nucleotide ribosomal RNA is filed under the name uncultured bacterium. RNAcentral's name for it is "partial 16S ribosomal RNA". It matches the Rfam family "Bacterial small subunit ribosomal RNA", at positions 28 to 507 of the family's 1533-position model. The record is from RNAcentral.